GCCUGGCUGACUCAGUCAGUAGAGCAUGUGACUCUUAAUCUCAGGGUGGUGAGUUCAAGCCCCGUGCUGGGUG
RNAcentral lists this transfer RNA (73 nucleotides) under Felis catus (domestic cat). It matches the Rfam family "tRNA". From Rfam's summary of the family: Transfer RNA (tRNA) molecules are approximately 80 nucleotides in length. Their secondary structure includes four short double-helical elements and three loops (D, anti-codon, and T loops). Further hydrogen bonds mediate the characteristic L-shaped molecular structure. tRNAs have two regions of fundamental functional importance: the anti-codon, which is responsible for specific mRNA codon recognition, and the 3' end, to which the tRNAs corresponding amino acid is attached (by aminoacyl-tRNA synthetases). tRNAs cope with the degeneracy of the genetic code in two manners: having more than one tRNA (with a specific anti-codon) for a particular amino acid; and 'wobble' base-pairing, i.e. permitting non-standard base-pairing at the 3rd anti-codon position. The record is from Rfam by way of RNAcentral. Lineage: Eukaryota; Metazoa; Chordata; Mammalia; Carnivora; Felidae.